GAUGAACGCUGGCGGCGUGCCUAAUACAUGCAAGUCGAGCGAAGGGACGAGUAGCUUGCUUCUCUGAUGUUAGCGGCGGACGGGUGAGUAACACGUGGAUAACCUACCUAUAAGACUGGGAUAACUUCGGGAAACCGGAGCUAAUACCGGAUGAUAUUUUGAACCGCAUGGUUCAUAAGUGAAAGACGGUCUUGCUGUCACUUAUAGAUGAAUACGCGCUGCAUUAGCUAGUUGGUAAGGUCACGGCUUACCAAGGCAACGAUGCAUAGCCGACCUGAGAGGGUGAUCGACCACACGGGAGCUGAGACACGGUCCAGACUCCUACGGGAGGCAGCAGUAGGGAAUCUUCCGCAAUGGGCGAAAGCCUGACGGAGCAACGCCGCGUGAGUGAUGAAGGUCUUCGGAUCGUAAAACUCUGUUAUUAGGGAAGAACAUAAGUGUAAGUAACUGUGCACAUCUUGACGGUACCUAAUCAGAAAGCCACGGCUAACUACGUG
RNAcentral lists this ribosomal RNA (497 nucleotides) under uncultured bacterium. RNAcentral describes it as "partial 16S ribosomal RNA". It matches the Rfam family "Bacterial small subunit ribosomal RNA", at positions 28 to 507 of the family's 1533-position model. The record is from RNAcentral.